RNAcentral lists this ribosomal RNA (403 nucleotides) under uncultured bacterium. RNAcentral's name for it is "bacterial SSU rRNA". It matches the Rfam family "Bacterial small subunit ribosomal RNA", at positions 358 to 773 of the family's 1533-position model. The record is from RNAcentral.
GGAAUAUUGCACAAUGGGCGCAAGCCUGAUGCAGCGACGCCGCGUGAGGGAUGACGGCCUUCGGGUUGUAAACCUCUUUCACCAGGGACGAAGCGCAAGUGACGGUACCUGGAGAAGAAGCACCGGCCCACUCCGUGCCAGCAGCCGCGGUAAUACGUAGGGGGCGAGCGUUGUCCGGAAUUACUGGGCGUAAAGAGCUCGUAGGUGGUUUGUCGCGUUGUUCGUGAAAACUCACAGCUUAACUGUGGGCGUGCGGGCGAUACGGGCAGACUAGAGUACUGCAGGGGAGACUGGAAUUCCUGGUGUAGCGGUGGAAUGCGCAGAUAUCAGGAGGAACACCGGUGGCGAAGGCGGGUCUCUGGGCAGUAACUGACGCUGAGGAGCGAAAGCGUAGGGAGCGAAC